GGGCGUAUAGCUCAGUGGUAGAGCGCUACCUUGACAUGGUAGAAGUCCGUAGUUCGAUCCUACGUACGCCCACCA
RNAcentral lists this transfer RNA (75 nucleotides) under Aquisalinus flavus. RNAcentral's name for it is "tRNA-Val". It matches the Rfam family "tRNA". Rfam says of the family: Transfer RNA (tRNA) molecules are approximately 80 nucleotides in length. Their secondary structure includes four short double-helical elements and three loops (D, anti-codon, and T loops). Further hydrogen bonds mediate the characteristic L-shaped molecular structure. tRNAs have two regions of fundamental functional importance: the anti-codon, which is responsible for specific mRNA codon recognition, and the 3' end, to which the tRNAs corresponding amino acid is attached (by aminoacyl-tRNA synthetases). tRNAs cope with the degeneracy of the genetic code in two manners: having more than one tRNA (with a specific anti-codon) for a particular amino acid; and 'wobble' base-pairing, i.e. permitting non-standard base-pairing at the 3rd anti-codon position. Lineage: Bacteria; Pseudomonadati; Pseudomonadota; Alphaproteobacteria; Parvularculales; Parvularculaceae. RNAcentral also lists the same sequence under 1 other name. The record is from RNAcentral.